GAUGAACGCUAGCUACAGGCUUAACACAUGCAAGUCGAGGGGCAGCAUGGUCUUAGCUUGCUAAGGCCGAUGGCGACCGGCGCACGGGUGAGUAACACGUAUCCAACCUGCCGUCUACUCUUGGACAGCCUUCUGAAAGGAAGAUUAAUACAAGAUGGCAUCAUGAGUUCACAUGUUCACAUGAUUAAAGGUUUUCCGGUAGACGAUGGGGAUGCGUUCCAUUAGAUAGUAGGCGGGGUAACGGACCACCUAGUCUUCGAUGGGUAGGGGUUCUGAGAGGAAGGUCCCCCACAUUGGAACUGAGACACGGUCCAAACUCGUACGGGAGGCAGCAGUGAGGAAUAUUGGUCAAUGGGCGAGAGCCUGAACCAGCCAAGGAGCGUGAAGGAUGACUGCCCUAUGGGUUGUAAACUUCUUUUAUAAAGGAAUAAAGUCGGGUAUGUAUACCCGUUUGCAUGUACUUUAUGAAUAAGGAUCGGCUAACUCCGU
RNAcentral lists this ribosomal RNA (489 nucleotides) under uncultured bacterium. RNAcentral describes it as "partial 16S ribosomal RNA". It matches the Rfam family "Bacterial small subunit ribosomal RNA", at positions 28 to 506 of the family's 1533-position model. The record is from RNAcentral.